Molecule: transfer RNA, 21 nt
Filed under: Salmonella sp.
Lineage: Bacteria; Pseudomonadati; Pseudomonadota; Gammaproteobacteria; Enterobacterales; Enterobacteriaceae
Description: partial tRNA-Ile
Source: RNAcentral
UCAAGUCCACUCAGGCCUACC